Molecule: ribosomal RNA, 497 nt
Filed under: uncultured bacterium
Lineage: Bacteria
Description: partial 16S ribosomal RNA
Rfam family: Bacterial small subunit ribosomal RNA
Source: RNAcentral
GAUGAACGCUGGCGGCGUGCCUAAUACAUGCAAGUCGAGCGAACAGACGAGGAGCUUGCUCCUCUGACGUUAGCGGCGGACUGGUGAGUAACACGUGGAUAACCUACCUAUAAGACUGGGAUAACUUCGGGAAACCGGAGCUAAUACCGGAUAAUAUAUUGAACCGCAUGGUUCAAUAGUGAAAGACGGUUUUGCUGUCACUUAUAGAUGGAUCCGCGCCGCAUUAGCUAGUUGGUAAGGUAACGGCUUACCAAGGCAACGAUGCGUAGCCGACCUGAGAGGGUGAUCGGCCACACUGGAACUGAGACACGGUCCAGACUCCUACGGGAGGCAGCAGUAGGGAAUCUUCCGCAAUGGGCGAAAGCCUGACGGAGCAACGCCGCGUGAGUGAUGAAGGUCUUCGGAUCGUAAAACUCUGUUAUUAGGGAAGAGCAAAUGUGUAAGUAACUAUGCACGUCUUGACGGUACCUAAUCAGAAAGCCACGGCUAACUACGUG